GAUGAACGCUGGCGGCGUGCCUAAUACAUGCAAGUCCAGCGAACAGACGAGGAGCUUGCUCCUCUGACGUUAGCGGCGGACGGGUGAGUAACACGUGGAUAACCUACCUAUAAGACUGGGAUAACUUCGGGAAACCGGAGCUAAUACCGGAUAAUAUAUUGAACCGCAUGGUUCAAUAGUGAAAGACGGUUUUGCUGUCACUUAUAGAUGGAUCCGCGCCGCAUUAGCUAGUUGGUAAGGUAACGGCUUACCAAGGCGACGAUGCAUAGCCGACCUGAGAGGGUGAUCGGCCACACUGGAACUAAGACACGGUCCAGACUCCUACGAGAGGCAGCAGUAGGGAAUCUUCCGGAAUGGGCGAAAGCCUGACGGAGCAACGCCGCGUGAGUGAUGAAGGUCUUCGGAUCGUAAAACUCUGUUAUUAGGGAAGAACAAAUGUGUAAGUAACUAUGCACGUCUUGACGGUACCUAAUCAGAAAGCCACGGCUAACUACGUG
This 497-nucleotide ribosomal RNA is filed under the name uncultured bacterium. RNAcentral describes it as "partial 16S ribosomal RNA". It matches the Rfam family "Bacterial small subunit ribosomal RNA", at positions 28 to 507 of the family's 1533-position model. The record is from RNAcentral.